RNAcentral lists this unclassified non-coding RNA (282 nucleotides) under plant metagenome. Its description in RNAcentral is "partial contains small subunit ribosomal RNA, internal transcribed spacer 1, and 5.8S ribosomal RNA". The record is from RNAcentral.
UUUCCGUAGGUGAACCUGCGGAAGGAUCAUUGUCGAAACCUGCCCAGCAGAACGACCCGCGAACUUGUAUAAACAACCGGGGGCGGGGGGCGUUCUCGCCCCGUGCCCCCGAACGGCGGGGAGACACUCGUGCCUUCUUGCCGAACAACGAACCCCGGCGCGGUCUGCGCCAAGGAACUUCAACUAAAGAGUGCCUCCGGUCGCCUCGGAAACGGCGUGCGUGCCGGGGGCGAAUCUUGUGCAAAACCACAACGACUCCCGGCAACGGAUAUCUCGGCUCUC